This is a long non-coding RNA of Acinonyx jubatus (cheetah), 3158 nucleotides long. RefSeq lists it as uncharacterized. Lineage: Eukaryota; Metazoa; Chordata; Mammalia; Carnivora; Felidae. The record is from RefSeq and is a predicted model, not a curated record. The transcript has 7 exons.
CAAACAGGCAGUAGGCCAGAUUUGGCCCAUGGGUUACUACCAACCUCUGCUUUGCCAGCCUCUGCUUUAAAAGGAUGGGGCAUGGGGCCACCUGGCUGGCUCAGCCAGGGGAGUGUGCGACCCUUGAUUUGGGGGUUGUGAGUUCGAGCUCCAUGUUGGGUGUAGAGAUUACUUAAAAUAAAUAAGUAACUAAAAAACAAUAAAUAAAAGGAUGGGGGCACGCCAUCCCUUUCUCUCUAGUUGGAAUGUGGGUGUGUCGGCUGGAGCUGGAGUAACUACUUUGGAUCACUGUGUUCAAGUCCUUUGUUGAAAUGGUGGAGAAAAAUGGUAGGAGUUUGAGACCCUCACUCUGUGGAGCCACGUACCCGCUCUGCACUGCUCAUGGUGACUGUUGCGUUUGGGGAGGACUAAGCGCAUCUUUUGUCCAUCACUUGUGGUUUGGGUCUUGCAAUGACCACCAUAUUAAUAGCUUAGCUCCCUUAUUUCAGAGACCCUAAGGGGCCAUCAGAUACACAUUGCGCAAUCAUUUCACGUGUCACUAAGAAACAAGACCACCGCUGUGCCUCUUAUUAAGCUUUGUUUCUCCACUCCAGAUCCACUCUGCCAUAUUGUGCUUUGUGAUGACAGCACUGGAGACCUGUGAACUACACCGCGCCUUUGCCUGCUGGCCAGCUUCCGUCACUCAGGGUCAUUGGAGGGAAACAAGAAGGCGGGAGGAGGGAGAAGGGACUUGCUCCUUCCUCUUUGCUUCCCGUUCUUACUACUGUCCGGAGCACUGGCUCCUCUCCCAGGCGGCAGCCCGUGGUUCCAGCCUCCAGCUUUCCUCGGGACCUCAGAACUGGAUUCAUCAUAUGCCUCGAGAGGAACUUAAGUUACCUGCAUAGAAGCUUCGCAGAUCGGUGUCCAAACAAUUCUCCAGGAAGCGCCUCAGAGGUGCUUCCCGUGCUCCCUCACGCUCGGCUCGCCGGCCACACUCUGCGCUGGGCAGCGGCCGGCCUGUUCAACAGCCAUCUCCGUGUUUGCAAGACGCGCAUGGACUGAGGGCCACGGUGAUUGCUUCAGAACUGCUCUUUCUCGGAGGAGACUCGGAGGCCCCACGAGAAGGGUCUGGGGGCUCCUCUAGUCCAACUUCCCACCUGGUGUGGACUCCCUUCAGUGGUGUCCCGGGCAGACGGCCAUUAAGUCGCAACUCGACCAUCCUCGUACUGGGAAACUCGAUGUCCAGGGGCGACCCAUUCCACUGCUGGACAGCUUGGAGUAGGAGUCACUCCUGAUUCUGAAUAGAAGCCUGCGCUCCUGUCACUUUGACCUGCUGAUACUACCUCUGCCUGUUUUUAGAAUACCUCUUCCCAGGGACAGCUCUUUAGUUUCCGGAGCAGGAAUCACAUUCCCCAGCGGGGAGGGGGGUUCAUCUGUUGGUAGCUACUCUGUGCCAAGCACCGUGCUGACAUUCUGUGUUUUCAGUUUUUGUUUUAAAGACUUCAUCUUAUUAAAAAAAAUUUCUUUUUUUUACAUUUACUUAUUUUUGAGAGACACAGAGAGACAGAGCAUGAGCAGGGGAAGGGCAGGCAGAGAGAGACACACACACACACACACACACACAGAAUCGGAAGCAGGCUCCAGGCUUUGAGCUGUCAGCACAGAGCCCGAUGCAGGGACUGAACCCAUGAACUGUGGGAUCAUGACCUGACCUGAAGUCGGAUGCUUAACUGACUGAGCCACUUGGGUGCCCCAAGACUUUGUUUAAAAAAAUUUUUUUUUAAUGUUUCUUUUUUGAGAGAGAGACAAAGCGUGGGCAGGGGAGGGGCAGAGAGAGUAAGAGAGAGCGAGAGAUUGAGACAGACACAGAAUCUGAAACAGGCUCCAGGCUCUGAGCUGUCAGCACAGAGCCCGACACAGGGCUCGAACUCAUGAGGUGUGAGAUCAUUGGCCUGAAUCGAAGUCGGACGCUUAACCGACUGAGACACCCAAGCGCCCCUAUUUUAUUUUUAAGUAAUCUCUACGCUCAGUGUGGGGGCUUGAACUCACAACCUCAAGAUCAAGAGUCGGAUGCUCUACUGAGUGAGCCAGCCGGGUGCCCCACAUUCUGUGUUUUUUUUUUUUAAUCUCGUUUAUCUUCACACAAUUCUAUUGUUAGCCCCACUUUACAAAUGAGGAAGCGGAGGCUCAGAGAGUGUAGGUAACGGUCCAAGGCCACACAGCAAGGAAAGGGCAGCCUGGGAACGCUGCCCGGCUUUUCCGCGCUUUUUAUGCUGCACGCCUGUGUUAAUCACGUCCAGCUCCUUUCCCUGCGCCCUCUGAGAGUCAGUCUCCAGGUCCCCUCCCCCUCCACGCUCAGCCUCCCUUGGAGACACAGGGCAAGACCGUGGCGCCUGGAGGAGAUCACGACACUCCACGUGUGGCCUGCCCAGGUCACGGUACGCGCCAGAACCUGGGAACGUCGUUUCUCAUUCGUGGACCCUGUGCCUCAUUUGCUCUGUGGGCGGAGUCCCCAGUGCCCUCCCCGCCCCGUGUCCUCCUGUCAGCUGAAAGUGUUGUGUGAGGGCUUAGUGGUGACAAGGUAACGGGCAGCGGGGGCCGAGCGGUGUCGGGGGACAGCAGAGGUCUGGCUCACCAGUGGGGAGGUGCCUGUAGUAGUAGAUGACGGGGUGGAGGAAGUUGGACUGCCACGCGUCUUCCGUGUGCCCCACGGACCGGUCAUGAAAGAAGACGUCCUUGUCGGGCCCAGAGAAAUUUCUGCCAUACUCCAUGUUGAUGACGAAGAGCCCGUGCCUGGCCCUCCUUCCUGUGAUGGUCUCCAGCUGGGCCAGCAUCUGCACGGGGAGCUCCUCCAGCUGAACCCCGACUUACACGGGAGACAGAUUCCAGAAAACUCUGAGUAACCUGAAAGGGAAGGCCACCGGCCCCUGGAGGGUGCUGUGCAGAGAUGCACGGGUGUGACUCAGGUUUUAAGAGGACCGCCCGGCCGCUGUGUUGAAAGCAGACCACGGGCAGAGGUGCGAGGCUGUAGGUGGUUCAGGCUUCACUUAGGAGGGAACCACUGGGCCACUCCAUGCCGGGGAUAGGCAGAGAAGAGCUCUGACCCGUGAAUGGUGGAGCUGGGCUACUCACUCCUUCAGCAGGACGACAUCGGCCAGCACGCCGAACAUCUGGUAGAG